GAUGAACGCUAGCGGGAGGCCUAACACAUGCAAGCCGAGCGGUAGAGUUCUUUCGGGAACUUGAGAGCGGCGUACGGGUGCGUAACACGUGUGCAACCUACCUUUAUCUGGGGGAUAGCCUUUCGAAAGGAAGAUUAAUACCCCAUAAUAUAAUGAUUGGCAUCAAUUAUUAUUGAAAACUCCGGUGGAUAGAGAUGGGCACGCGCAAGAUUGGAUAGUUGGUGAGGUAACGGCUCACCAAGUCAAUGAUCUUUAGGGGUCCUGAGAGGGAGAUCCCCCAGACUGGUGCUGAGACACAGACCAGACUGCUACGGGAGGCAGGAGUAAGGUAUAGUGGACGAUGGGUGAAAGCCUGAUCCAGCCGUCCCGCGUGAAGAAUGACGGUCCUAUGAAAUGUAUACUUCUUUUGUACAGGGAUAAACCUACUCUCGUGAGGGUAGCUGAAGGUACUGUACGAAUAAGCACCGGCUAACUCCGUG
Molecule: ribosomal RNA, 479 nt
Filed under: uncultured bacterium
Lineage: Bacteria
Description: partial 16S ribosomal RNA
Rfam family: Bacterial small subunit ribosomal RNA
Source: RNAcentral